GCCUGGGUGGCUCAGUGGGUUAAAGCCUCUGCCUUUGGCUCAGGUCAUGAUCCCAGAGUCGUGGGAUCGAACCCCGCAUCGGGCU
Mustela putorius furo (domestic ferret) is the source of this 85-nucleotide non-coding RNA. NCBI's taxonomy places the organism in Eukaryota, Metazoa, Chordata, Mammalia, Carnivora, Mustelidae. The record is from Rfam.